This 299-nucleotide ribosomal RNA is filed under the name uncultured bacterium. Its description in RNAcentral is "partial 16S ribosomal RNA". It matches the Rfam family "Bacterial small subunit ribosomal RNA", at positions 471 to 776 of the family's 1533-position model. The record is from RNAcentral.
CUAUGCGCCUUGCCAGCCCGCUCAGGUGUGCCAGCCGCCGCGGUAACACGUAGGGAGCAAGCGUUGUCCGGAAUUACUGGGCGUAAAGGGCGCGUAGGUGGGCGCUUAAGUCAGGUGUGAAAACUCCGGGCUCAACCUGGAGACUGCACUUGAAACUGGGUGUCUUGAGGGCAGGAGAGGAAAGUGGAAUUCCUAGUGUAGCGGUGAAAUGCGUAGAUAUUAGGAGGAACACCAGUGGCGAAGGCGACUUUCUGGACUGUAACUGACGUUGAGGCACGAAAGUGUGGGGAGCAAACAGG